AGGGGGGAGAGGCCCCCUUUUUAUAGAUACAUGUAGUAAAUCAUGGCCAUCGGAUUAAAAACAAUUUGGACGCUCAGGAUUGCGCCACGUCAUCAGUCAACAGUCCACGGUUUGACCACGCGGAUGAACAGUAACACGGUUUGACCCGACUUUGAACAGUAACGCGGUUUGACCCGGAUGAACAGUAACGCGGUUUGGUUGAAAAUAAUCCUGUGUGAUGCAUGCACCGUACGCGAGAUUUUUCGUCCACUGAUAUGCUGCCACGUCACCAUCAACAGUACAUAAGAAUUUUAGUCCAACAGGAUCGUGACACCUCAUCAGUCAAUGCCACAUCAUCGGUCAAUGCC
RNAcentral lists this long non-coding RNA (347 nucleotides) under Citrus sinensis (sweet orange). RNAcentral describes it as "long non-coding RNA (CSIN_LNC003169)". The record is from RNAcentral. Lineage: Eukaryota; Viridiplantae; Streptophyta; Magnoliopsida; Sapindales; Rutaceae.